Molecule: ribosomal RNA, 493 nt
Filed under: uncultured bacterium
Lineage: Bacteria
Description: partial 16S ribosomal RNA
Rfam family: Bacterial small subunit ribosomal RNA
Source: RNAcentral
AUUGAACGCUGGCGGCAUGCUUUACACAUGCAAGUCGAACGGUAACAGGUUAAGCUGACGAGUGGCGAACGGGUGAGUAAUGCAUCGGAACGUGCCCGGUCGUGGGGGAUAACACUUCGAAAGAAGUGCUAAUACCGCAUACGAUCUGAGGAUGAAAGCGGGGGACCGUAAGGCCUCGCGCGAUCGGAGCGGCCGAUGUCAGAGUAGGUAGGUGGUGGGGUAAAGGCCUACCAAGCCGACGAUCUGUAGCUGGUAUGAGAGGACGACCAGCCACACGGGGACUGAGACACGGCCCAGACUCCUACGGGAGGCAGCAGUGGGGAAUUUUGGACAAUGGGCGCAAGCCUUAUCCAGCAAUGCCGCGUGCAGGAAGAAGGCCUUCGGGUUGUAAACUGCUUUUGUACGGAGCGAAAAGGCUCUCUCUAAUACAGGGGGCUGAUGACGGUACCGUAAGAAUAAGCACCGGCUAACUACGUGCCAGCAGCCGCGGUAA